Molecule: long non-coding RNA, 493 nt
Filed under: Monodelphis domestica (gray short-tailed opossum)
Lineage: Eukaryota; Metazoa; Chordata; Mammalia; Didelphimorphia; Didelphidae
Description: lncRNA (ENSMODG00000049367.1)
Source: RNAcentral
UGGACAUGAAAGCGCUUUGUAGCAGUGAACAGCUUUGGAAAGGGCCAACCUUUCCUAGGAAAGUCAAUCCAUAGACCCAGGAGCAUUUAUCAAGCACCUACUAUGUGCCAGGCACUGUUCUUAUGGCUGGUGACCCAGAGGCAAAGAUGAAGUAGCCUCCACCCUCAGGGCGCUCCCACAGGCAUCUGGGAGCUGGGAUCCACCUCCAGCAAGGGGAGAGGAGCCCCUGGGAUCAAACGCUGUAAUAAGUCUGAAAGCCAGCAGACGAUUUGUAAAGGUCCUUUGAAGAAUCAAAGAUCUACAUUUAACAUCUGAAUAAGUUUGGGCCCUGAAGGUUUGACCAAGUCAGGAAGGACUUUGGACUGUACAAUUGUGUUGCUAUUCAUUCCUUUAUCUUGUAAUUGGACCUAAUAUUAUGUUAAUACUUUUGUUGUUUCACUUGCUUGACUGAAAUCCAGAAAACUCCCAUUUCUGGAAACCUAUAAUAAAUCAG